Non-coding RNA from Monodelphis domestica (gray short-tailed opossum), 48 nucleotides. The record is from Rfam. Lineage: Eukaryota; Metazoa; Chordata; Mammalia; Didelphimorphia; Didelphidae.
CAAAAGGCUCUUUUCAGAGCCACUUGCAUUUUCGCCUUAAGUAGCUGU